RNAcentral lists this ribosomal RNA (542 nucleotides) under uncultured bacterium. Its description in RNAcentral is "bacterial SSU rRNA". It matches the Rfam family "Bacterial small subunit ribosomal RNA", at positions 11 to 546 of the family's 1533-position model. The record is from RNAcentral.
GUUUGAUCAUGGCUCAGAUUGAACGCUGGCGGCAGGCCUAACACAUGCAAGUCGAGCGGCAGCACGGGUACUUGUACCUGGUGGCGAGCGGCGGACGGGUGAGUAAUGCCUAGGAAUCUGCCUGGUAGUGGGGGAUAACGCUCGGAAACGGACGCUAAUACCGCAUACGUCCUACGGGGGAAAGCAGGGGACCUUCGGGCCUUGCGCUAUCAGAUGAGCCUAGGUCGGAUUAGCUAGUUGGUGAGGUAAUGGCUCACCAAGGCGACGAUCCGUAACUGGUCUGAGAGGAUGAUCAGUCACACUGGAACUGAGACACGGUCCAGACUCCUACGGGAGGCAGCAGUGGGGAAUAUUGGACAAUGGGCGAAAGCCUGAUCCAGCCAUGCCGCGUGUGUGAAGAAGGUCUUCGGAUUGUAAAGCACUUUAAGUUGGGAGGAAGGGCAUUUACCUAAUACGUAAGUGUUUUGACGUUACCGACAGAAUAAGCACCGGCUAACUCUGUGCCAGCAGCCGCGGUAAUACAGAGGGUGCAAGCGUUAAUC